CGUGAACGCUGGCGGUAGGCCUAACACAUGCAAGUCGAACGGCAGCACAGUAAGAGCUUGCUCUUACGGGUGGCGAGUGGCAGACGGGUGAGGAAUACAUCGGAAUCUACUUUUUCGUGGGGGAUAACGUAGGGAAACUUACGCUAAUACCGCAUACGACCUACGGGUGAAAGCAGGGGAUCUUCGGACCUUGCGCGAUUGAAUGAGCCGAUGUCGGAUUAGCUAGUUGGCGGGGUAAAGGCCCACCAAGGCGACGAUCCGUAGCUGGUCUGAGAGGAUGAUCAGCCACACUGGAACUGAGACACGGUCCAGACUCCUACGGGAGGCAGCAGUGGGGAAUAUUGGACAAUGGGCGCAAGCCUGAUCCAGCCAUACCGCGUGGGUGAAGAAGGCCUUCGGGUUGUAAAGCCCUUUUGUUGGGAAAGAAAAGCAGCAGGUUAAUACCCCGCUGUUCUGACGGUACCCAAAGAAUAAGCACCGGCUAACUUCGUG
Molecule: ribosomal RNA, 492 nt
Filed under: uncultured bacterium
Lineage: Bacteria
Description: partial 16S ribosomal RNA
Rfam family: Bacterial small subunit ribosomal RNA
Source: RNAcentral